GGGCGCUUAGCUCAGUAGUAGAGCGCAACGUUCGCAACGUUGAGGCCGGGGGUGCGAAUCCCCCAGCGUCCA
RNAcentral lists this transfer RNA (72 nucleotides) under Candidatus Woesearchaeota archaeon. Its description in RNAcentral is "tRNA-Ala". It matches the Rfam family "tRNA". Rfam says of the family: Transfer RNA (tRNA) molecules are approximately 80 nucleotides in length. Their secondary structure includes four short double-helical elements and three loops (D, anti-codon, and T loops). Further hydrogen bonds mediate the characteristic L-shaped molecular structure. tRNAs have two regions of fundamental functional importance: the anti-codon, which is responsible for specific mRNA codon recognition, and the 3' end, to which the tRNAs corresponding amino acid is attached (by aminoacyl-tRNA synthetases). tRNAs cope with the degeneracy of the genetic code in two manners: having more than one tRNA (with a specific anti-codon) for a particular amino acid; and 'wobble' base-pairing, i.e. permitting non-standard base-pairing at the 3rd anti-codon position. Lineage: Archaea; Nanobdellati; Candidatus Woesearchaeota. The record is from RNAcentral.